UAGGUUGUAGAUGGGNAUGCGUGNCAUUAGCUNGUUGGUAAGGUNNCGGCUUNCNNAGGCAACGAUGUNUAGGGGUUCUGAGAGGAAGGUCCCCCACACUGGUACUGAGACACGGACCAGNCUCCUACGGGAGGCAGCAGUGAGGAAUAUUGGUCAGAUGGCGAGAGCCUNAACCAGCCAUGUCGCGUGCAGGAUGACGGCCUACGGGUUGUAAACUNNNUUUGUACGGGAAGAAAAAACGCCACGUGUGGUGUCUUGCCGGUACCGUACGAAUAAGGAUCGGCUACAUCGGANUUANUGGGUUUAAAGGGUGCGUAGGCGGNNNNUUAAGUCAGUGGUGAAAGUUUGCGGCUCAACCGUGAAAUUGCNAUUGAUNCUGGUUUUCUUGAGUACAGUUGAGGUAGGCGGAAUGUGGUGUGUAGCGGUGAAAUGCUUAGAUAUACCACAGAACACCGAUUGCGAAGGCAGCUUACUNAAGUGUAACUGACGCUGAUGCNCGAAAGCGUGGGGAUCAAACAGGAUUAGAUNCCCUGGUAGUCCACGCAGUAAACGAUGAUCNCUCGUUGUUUGCGAUACAUUGCAAGUGACCAAGAGAAAUCGAUAAGUGAUCCACCUGGGGAGUACGGNCGCAAGGCUCAGUCCNNNNACGAGCGCAACCCNNNUCGUUAGUUGCCAUNAGGUNAUGCUGGGCACUCUANNGAGACUGCNGGUGNUAAACCGCGAGGAAGGUGUGGAUGACGUCAAAUNCAGCNNGGCNNUGCGAUNAGGGCUACACACGUGUUACAAUGGCCGGUACAGAGGGCUGCUACCAUGCGAAUGGAUGCUAAUCCUAAAAACCGGUCCCAGUUCGGAUUGGAGUCUGCAACCCGACUCCAUGAAGCUGGAUUCGCUAGUAAUCGCGCAUCAGCCAUGGCGCGGUGAAUACGU
RNAcentral lists this ribosomal RNA (927 nucleotides) under Breznakibacter xylanolyticus. RNAcentral's name for it is "Cytophaga xylanolytica ribosomal RNA". It matches the Rfam family "Bacterial small subunit ribosomal RNA", at positions 215 to 1371 of the family's 1533-position model. The record is from RNAcentral. Lineage: Bacteria; Pseudomonadati; Bacteroidota; Bacteroidia; Marinilabiliales; Marinilabiliaceae.